CAAUAGCGUACAUUAAAGUUGUUGCGGUAAAAAAGCUCGUAGUUGGAUUUCUACCGAAGAUAGCCGGUCGGGUCUUCGACCUUGUAUCUGGUUUUGUCUUUGGUAUCCUCAUAGGGAACGUUUCUGCGCUUUAUUGCGUGGUGCGGUAUCUAUGACUUUUACUUUGAGGAAAUUAGAGUGUUCACGGCAGGCAAACGCCUUGAAUAUAUUAGCAUGGAAUAAUAACAUAGGAUCUUCGUCCUAUUUUGUUGGUUUCUAGGGCUAAGAUAAUGAUUAAUAGGGAUAAUUGGGGGCAUCUGUAUCAACGCGUCAGAGGUGGAAUUCUUGGAUUGCGUUGCGACAAACUACUGCGAAAGCAUUUGCCAAGGAUGUUUUCAUUGA
This 381-nucleotide ribosomal RNA is filed under the name uncultured eukaryote. Its description in RNAcentral is "partial 18S ribosomal RNA". It matches the Rfam family "Eukaryotic small subunit ribosomal RNA", at positions 592 to 976 of the family's 1831-position model. The record is from RNAcentral.